AUACGUGGGAGCAUGUGAUCGAGAUGGGUCUCAGGGCGGUGUUCGUGAACAGCUGGUGAAAUGGGACGCUAAGCUCCAGGAAGAUCUCGACAAGAUGCUCAAGAAGGCCGAGGCUGCCAAUGUGUGCCGCUACUUCGAGGAUGUCAAGUUCAUCAAAGGAAAAGGCAUAUUGGACCGUCGAAGAUGUGGCUCUCUGGUAUUGAUAGCUUCCACGAAUUCAUCUCUGUUUGUCUUCGCCGGUCGUGGGGAUGGUGGGUUCUUGCGAUAGAGACAGAGAGAUGGGGGAUGUUUUCUUUGAAGAUGUGAAAGUUUUGAUCUUUUUUCUAUAGACAUGGUGGUCUCCUCUUGCGUCGGGGGGAAAGUUCAUUUGUUAAUAUGUUGGGAGUCAAUUUCAUCUGUCAAUGAAUGUAAUUUUAAUGGAGACAUGCUUUUUUAAUCAAGUUCUUGUUUCUAUUCCUAAACUUCUUUACAUGGAAAGGAGUUGAAUGUGAGGAGGCAAAUCUGAUGACAAGAAAUUA
Long non-coding RNA from Rhodamnia argentea, 518 nucleotides. RefSeq lists it as uncharacterized. NCBI's taxonomy places the organism in Eukaryota, Viridiplantae, Streptophyta, Magnoliopsida, Myrtales, Myrtaceae. The record is from RefSeq and is a predicted model, not a curated record. The transcript has 2 exons.